GACGAACGCUGGCGGCGUGCUUAACACAUGCCAGUCGAACGGAAAGGCCCUGCUUUUGUGGGGUGCUCGAGUGGCGAACGGGUGCGUAACACGUGAGUAACCUGCCCUUGACUUUGGGAUAACUUCAGGAAACUGGGGCUAAUACCGGAUAGCAGCUCCUGCUGCAUGGUGGGGGUUGGAAAGUUGCGGCGGUUGGGGAUGGACGCGCGGCUUAUCAGCUUGUUGGUGGGGUAGUGGCUUACCAAGGCUGUGACGGGUAGCCGGCCUGUGAGGGUGACCGGGCACAUUAGGACUGAGAUACGGACCAGAGGCCAACGGGAGGCAGCAGUGGGGAAUAUGGCACAAUGGGAGGAAGCCUGAUGCAGCAACGCCGGGUGCGGGAUGACGGCCUGCGGGUUGUAAACAGCAGUCGCCUGUGACGAAGCGGGAGUGACGGUAAUGGGUAAAGAAGCACCGGCUAACUACGUG
Molecule: ribosomal RNA, 468 nt
Filed under: uncultured bacterium
Lineage: Bacteria
Description: partial 16S ribosomal RNA
Rfam family: Bacterial small subunit ribosomal RNA
Source: RNAcentral